Molecule: ribosomal RNA, 367 nt
Filed under: uncultured organism
Description: bacterial LSU rRNA
Rfam family: Bacterial large subunit ribosomal RNA
Source: RNAcentral
CUUUACUGUAACUUGAAAUUGAAAUUGGACUUUAUUUGCGCAGUAUAGGUGGGAGGCAUUGAGAAUCUUCUUGCGGGAGGAUUGGAGCCAUCAGUGAGAUACCACUCUUGUAAUGUUAGAUUUCUAACUUUGAAUCAUGAUCUGGUCAAAGAACAGUUUCAGGCGGGCAGUUUGACUGGGGCGGUCGCCUCCUAAACGGUAACGGAGGCGCACAAAGGUUUCCUCUGAACGGGUAGAAAUCGUAUCUAGAGUGUAAAGGCAUAAGGAAGCUUGACUGUGAGACCUACAAGUCGAGCAGGGACGAAAGUCGGUCUUAGUGAUCUGACGGUGCUGAGUGGAAAGGCCGUCACUCAACGGAUAAAAGUUA